RNAcentral lists this long non-coding RNA (3078 nucleotides) under Lynx pardinus (Iberian lynx). The record is from RNAcentral. Lineage: Eukaryota; Metazoa; Chordata; Mammalia; Carnivora; Felidae.
UCCAAUUUUUUAAAAAAAUUCAUUUUCAAGUGAUUUCUAACAUUCUUCUACUAUCUCUUUUUUUCUAGAAAGCAAACUGGUACCAAUUCUACUUUUUACUCUGAUGGAAAGAGAGUUACUAAAUCUGAACUUGGCUUCUGGUCUUUCCUUGAUUUUUGUCUUUGCUUGGCCUGGAAAGUAUCCUAGGUGGACUGAAACUAGGCUCCCAAAAUGAACUCCACUUAGAGUUUGAACACUUUUUUAGAAAACACAAAAAAACCCAUAAUGUUUGCCUGUUUCUGGAAUGAACUUAGCUUCAUCAGCCAAGUUCAAAACUCAGCCAAGUUCAAAGGAGGGGUUGGGGGUGGGAAGGAGCUCACUGUCAAAACUUCAGGGACACCUCUCCCUUGCAGCAAAUACUCCUGGAAACCCUAAGGCCACAUCUAUCUGUGGGCAUGGGGGAGUCUCUUCCUCAUCUGGUGCCAAUGGACUCCACUUGCAAUUAGAGCAACAAAGACGUGCUGAUAUUGUUCAAGUCAAAAGCAGUAGCUUCUGUAAACAUCCCUGGAGGUCUGAGACAGUUUGGCCAAUCAAGAUCUCCUGCCACUCCCCACCACUGGAAGCUCAACUCUUCACCAAAUCAGGAGAUUCUAAUACCCAAGAGAAAAAUUAGAUUCCCCAUCCAUGUCUUAAGAUAUCUCUGUGCAGAAGACUUGGUAAUAAUUGGCUAGAAAAAGAAAAAAUAUAUAUAUAUAUGUAUAUACACCUCCCAAAAAAGGACCUGGAACUGGAACUUUGGGUUGGGUGUCUUGUGGGGCUGAAAUAAAAUAUCUGAGCCACAGGAUUCAAGGCCUGAUUCUUUUUUCUCCACUUCUAAACUGCCAGGAAACUCCCAACUCAAAUAUUACCUUUGCUGGGAUGCAAUCCUCUCAUCCCACCUCUUAAAUACAUCGUGUUUGUCUCCUGGUUCCCAUGGUGCCUCAUUCAGAUGUCCAUCAUCUUACUCUCCACAACACAGUUUAAUUAGAUGCUCACAUAAUUCUGAAGCCACUGACGGAGGGACUGUGUCCCCAGUGCCUGGCACAUAAAAUAGGGGUCAGCAUACUUCCUUCUGUAAAUGGCCAGAGAGUAAAUAAACAUUUUAGGCUCUGCAGUAACCUGGUCUCUGUCGUAACUGUGCAGCUGCUAUUGUAGUGCUAAAGCACCUACAGACAAUAGGUGCUCCAAAACUUUAUUUACAAAAACAGGUAGUGGGCCAGAUUUGACCUGCAGACCAGGGUCUGCCAACUCCUGUGGCAGACCAUCCAAUGAAAACUAUAAAGAAGGGAGGGCAGGAGGCAACCAUGAAGGAAGGGGGAGAGGAAGGGAAGAAGAGAUGGAAGACGAGGUAGAGAAGGAGAAUAAACCCAGAAAUAAAGUCAGAAUGAAACAAAAUUUGAUAUGCUUCCCAGAUGGUAAAGAGCUAUUCCUAGUGAGUUUCUCUUCAGCAAAGCAUUCAGUCCAUAAGAAACAAUUCUAAUUAGAAUCCUCCUAUUAUACUUCACAUUGUAUUCUCUACAUGUAAAUCUUCCAAACAGUUUCUCUCUUUUGGCAAAUCAUUAUUUCCCAUUUAUUAAGACAAAGUACAGUCGAAGGGCUCCAUUGCUGGCUUAUAACUGCAGCCUGCCUACAGGUGUCAUAUUUUAUGCACUGAAAAGAGAGUAUUGUUUUGCCACUCUCUAUGCAGGAACUAUGAACGCCUGGAAACAAAUGACUUUUGACUGCUGAUCAGAACCUCACUUUAAUCAGUUACUGGUCUAUGAUCAAUAAUUAAUCAUGCUAUUCUGUCUAGGUAAUAAAUAAUGGCGAAAAUACCAAUGAAUAUAUAGUUGGCCAGAUUCUCCCUGGGGCGAAACACAAAAGGACCAGCAUGAAAGUCUAUCUGGAUAACCCUGUGGAUUCUCGGUGUACAGCUUUAGUUGAAAUUCCAGGAGGGCUUGGACUGGUAGGAGAGGAAAGAGCCUUGUCACCAUCAACGCCUCCCUCUGAGCCCCUCAGGACUAAUAAUCCCUGCUUGGAUCAAAUGUGUGUGUGCAGAGAUAACUGAAAAGGAGCCCGCGACACUGGGGGACAGGCCAGAGUUUCACAGGCACAAGCAAUUGGGUGGCAGGAGGAGCAGAGACCCACUCAGGUUCAAUGCUUGUCAUGCUUGUAGGUUAGAAGUGGUGCAUCCACUGCAAUCUUAUAUGCUGAAACCUAGACGCGUACCCAGUGACUUCGUUAUUCAAGUUUUCUGAUGGAAUAUUUUAUAAAGAGAACAAAUAACUGUAUUGCUUUUCUACUGCCAUAUAAUAAAUUACCACAAAUUUAGUGACUUAAAACAACAUGCAUUAAUUAUCUCAUGGUUUCUGCUUGCAGGUCAGGCGUCUGGCCCCGGGCUCAGCGGGGCUCUCUACUCAGGGGCUUGCGUGGCUGCAACUGCAGUGUCCACUGGGUUGUACCCCUUUCUGGAGCUUGGGAUCCUCUUCUAAGCUCACGUGGUUGUUGGCCAAAUCCGGUUCCUUGUGGCUGUGUGACCAAGGGUCCUGGCUUCUUACUGGCUGUCACCAUAAGAAUCUCGCCCUGACUUACCUGUUUAGUCGACUUCCAAGUAGAGGCAUUGGUAAUGAGAACAUACACAGCAGAGGGAGAUCCAGAGGGAACUGCUACCACAGUUCAUGAGCUAGUGUUCUUCAGUGCUAUUACACUAAAAUGAUCUCGUCCUUUUUGUUUUUUUUUUUUUUUAAUAGCUUGAUUGUUCUCCCUGAGCAAAAAAUCUAGGCAAAAUUCUCUAUCAAAGACAGCCAUGCUACCAUCAUGCUAGAUGUAUAGGUCCCUGGUCUUUCUUAUGUUACUGUAGGUGGAACCAAGCAUUCAGAUUACAACAAUAUUUUUGAUACAAAAGUUACGAUACUUUUUAUGAGACAUUCUCAUUUGUCUUUGAGUUCAUCUGGGUUAGCAUAAGAAAAGCAUCAUUUGUACUAUAUUAGCAAAUUGCCUAAUCUAUUUACGUAACCUGCUCUGAGUCAGGUGUUUUCUUUUUAUUAACUUAUUUCCCCCAAGACUUCAGCCAAACUCACA